This 440-nucleotide long non-coding RNA is filed under the name Haliotis rufescens (red abalone). RNAcentral's name for it is "uncharacterized LOC125383632, transcript variant X1". The record is from RNAcentral. Lineage: Eukaryota; Metazoa; Mollusca; Gastropoda; Lepetellida; Haliotidae.
CAACGUCAUCAACAGUCAAGGCAGACAUCUUUCUUCAAGAAAUCUGCCCAAAAGGAAAAACACUGAAAUUGGACCAGUAAAGCUGCAAGACUUUGUCGGCCAGUCAAAAGUGGACGCUGCAAUCCAAGGUGAAACUUUCUUUCUCAUGGUGGGGCACACGCAUGAAGAUUUGGAUCAACUGUUAAGUGUUUAGUGCAAGGGAACUUAGACAGAAGCCUGCAACAACCCGCGAUGCCCUCCUUCAAGAUUGGGGACAUCCGGACACCCACCACCAAGCUAUCAGACUUCAAGCCCUUCAUGCCUGCCCCAAGGGAAGCGACAACCCUCCCAACUAAAGUUCAAGAGGCAAUAGAGAAGAACAAUGAAAAACUGCAAAAACAAUCAAAGAUCACUCUGACAAAGCACCGAAGACAAGCGUCAGUAUCAGAACAAUAAAGAAG